UAUUCCAAAAAUUGUAACUUU
This 21-nucleotide non-coding RNA is filed under the name Caenorhabditis elegans. The record is from RNAcentral. Lineage: Eukaryota; Metazoa; Nematoda; Chromadorea; Rhabditida; Rhabditidae.